RNAcentral lists this ribosomal RNA (890 nucleotides) under Vibrio parahaemolyticus. Its description in RNAcentral is "partial 23S ribosomal RNA". It matches the Rfam family "Bacterial large subunit ribosomal RNA", at positions 607 to 1505 of the family's 2925-position model. Lineage: Bacteria; Pseudomonadati; Pseudomonadota; Gammaproteobacteria; Vibrionales; Vibrionaceae. The record is from RNAcentral.
UUUGUAUAAUGGGUCAGCGACUUAUAUUCAGUGGCAAGGUUAACCAUCUAGGGGAGCCGUAGGGAAACCGAGUCUUAACUGGGCGUUCAGUCUCUGGAUAUAGACCCGAAACCAGGUGAUCUAGCCAUGGGCAGGUUGAAGGUUGAGUAACAUCAACUGGAGGACCGAACCGACUAAUGUUGAAAAAUUAGCGGAUGACUUGUGGCUAGGGGUGAAAGGCCAAUCAAACCUGGAGAUAGCUGGUUCUCCCCGAAAGCUAUUUAGGUAGCGCCUCGGACGAAUACUACUGGGGGUAGAGCACUGUUAAGGCUAGGGGGUCAUCCCGACUUACCAACCCUUUGCAAACUCCGAAUACCAGUAAGUACUAUCCGGGAGACACACGGCGGGUGCUAACGUCCGUCGUGGAGAGGGAAACAACCCAGACCGCCAGCUAAGGUCCCAAAUUACUACUAAGUGGGAAACGAUGUGGGAAGGCUCAGACAGCCAGGAUGUUGGCUUAGAAGCAGCCAUCAUUUAAAGAAAGCGUAAUAGCUCACUGGUCGAGUCGGCCUGCGCGGAAGAUGUAACGGGGCUAAGUAGUAAACCGAAGCUGCGGCAAUGUGCUUUUGCACAUUGGGUAGGGGAGCGUUCUGUAAGCGGUUGAAGGUGUGUGGUAACGCAUGCUGGACGUAUCAGAAGUGCGAAUGCUGACAUGAGUAACGAUAAAGGGGGUGAAAAACCUCCUCGCCGGAAGACCAAGGGUUCCUGUCCAACGUUAAUCGGGGCAGGGUAAGUCGACCCCUAAGGCGAGGCCGAAAGGCGUAGUCGAUGGGAAACGGGUUAAUAUUCCCGUACUUCUUACAAUUGCGAUGGGGGGACGGAGAAGGCUAGGUGGGCCUGGCGACGGUUGU